Molecule: long non-coding RNA, 1260 nt
Filed under: Megachile rotundata (alfalfa leafcutting bee)
Lineage: Eukaryota; Metazoa; Arthropoda; Insecta; Hymenoptera; Megachilidae
Description: uncharacterized LOC105663342, transcript variant X1
Source: RNAcentral
CCUAUCGGUACACGUAGAUUCCUGCCUAUAACACAUCGAACACUUGUCAACACUUGUAGAGUUUUGUAAAAAAAUGUUAACGCAGCAGAAGAAGAAUUGAUUUUGAGUCAAUUUAAAUUUUCAAAUUUUGAAAUUUGGUAAUUCGGGGAUUUAGAUAUUUACAAUUUAAAAAUAUAGAAAUCUGAGAGUUUGGAAAAUGUAAGAAUGUAACAUUUUCAAAAGUUGUCAAGAUGUACAUCAGUGUUUUCGAAAAUACAAGAUAUUAAAAAUUUGCAAGUUCCUACAUUUGACCCUCCAAAAUGAAAAGCAAGUAGUGGGAGUAUGUUUCCCUAUGUAUAUUCUCAUCCAAAGUAAGCCUACACUCGGCUCGAGUGUAGAAAGAAAAGGGGCUAUUUAUUCCAAGCAUAUCGUGGUCGAAAAGUGCACGCACGAUAGCGUGCAAGGGAGCGAGGCGAGGAACACGGCCAGCUGUUUGUUUUGUUUUCGGGCAUGAGAUUCACGUGACACCACCGGUGCUGGUGGCGGCUCGUACGGCAGCGCCGUAUCAGAGCGUUUGAUUGGUCGAGGCAGUGCACUCGCGCACCGCUGGGCCAAUCGGUAUUCGCGUAAGAAGCGACGUCUGGUGCUUGUACGGUGCAGAGACGUUUGACAUCGAUAAAUGCGUGAGAGUGCUCGCGAAGUGCGGAGGUAUCAGGCUGUCGCUCGCUCGUCGGCUUGUCGUAGUCGUCGUCGUCGUCGUCGGGGGCUCGUGGGCUCGUCGUCGUCGGUCAGUUGGUGUCUCCUUUUCUUUGUCCUAGCCCCCCACUUCGCGGAAAGUCUGUGCAAUAGUAGUGUUAGGCAGUGCCGAUCCCACAGUGACCGUCUUUCUUUACGUCGUCGCUCAGCUGCGCCUACUUUCGUGUGCGAGCGAACGUAUCCGGCGUGCCAAAUGUCACUAGGUGGACGAUAGGGUCGAAAUACACUCGAUCCUCGACGUCGUACAUACGCACGCGUUUUACCAGUGCAUGUAUACAACGUAGAGUGAAUGUUGUGAAACGAAGGUGAAGAAAGAAGAACCGACGAAGUCAGGCGGAAAGAAGAAGGAUCGAGUGGAACACGUCGUUGGGUAAAAAAAGUAGAGAGAAGGAUAAACUGGCGCGUAAGCGGACCAGGCAAGUAGAAGUUCGAGAGUAAGAGACAGACACGAACGAUAUAACUAAAUUCUUUGCACGUGGAACGAACGACGGAGAGUGUAAACGGGAACGGGAAGAAAGAUCGAAA